Molecule: transfer RNA, 76 nt
Filed under: Myxococcales bacterium
Lineage: Bacteria; Pseudomonadati; Myxococcota; Myxococcia; Myxococcales
Also listed under: 1 other name
Description: tRNA-Lys
Rfam family: tRNA
About the family: Transfer RNA (tRNA) molecules are approximately 80 nucleotides in length. Their secondary structure includes four short double-helical elements and three loops (D, anti-codon, and T loops).
Source: RNAcentral
CGAUCCGGAACUCGAGAGGCAGAGAGGACGGCUCUUAACCGUCUGCGUAAGGGUUCGAGCCCCUUCGGAUCGACCA